This 1070-nucleotide long non-coding RNA is filed under the name Dasypus novemcinctus (nine-banded armadillo). RNAcentral describes it as "lncRNA (ENSDNOG00000052867.1)". The record is from RNAcentral. Lineage: Eukaryota; Metazoa; Chordata; Mammalia; Cingulata; Dasypodidae.
CUUUCUCCUCAGCAGGGCGCAGCGCCAGGGCUGAGCUCCACUCUGGAAGCGCAGGGCGCCGCGGCCUGGCUCAGCCUCCGGGAGGGGGCUGUGGUGGUGGAGACACCCCGAGCAGGGAGACGGACUAGGAGACGCUGUAGGGAGCCCGGUUUGUGGCUCUCUGUUGGGGCCCCAGGGAGGACCCCCAGUCGAGCCCCCGGCUGACACCGCACGAGCAGAGACGACCGUCCCCACCGAGCUGCCCUUGUCACAGAAUAAACCGUCACUGUUGUUUCAGGGCCGUCGAUUUGGGGACGAUUUGUUACGCAGCGACAAACCGAUACGCUGCCUGUGGCUCCCGCAGCCCUCGGCAGGUGCUGGCUUCUCCGCGGAGGCCCCAGACGCGCCUCCCCGAGCCGGGCAAUUCUCGCUAGUCUCCUGGUUUAGACAGUAAGUCGUAGGGCCCCUGACGGAGGCACAGCUCCCCUCCGAGGCGAGCCGGGGCCCCCUGCCCGCGGCCUGCGGGGCAUCAAGCGGACACCCAGACGCUGGAAGUGAAGGCCCCUCCCACCGAGGCGGGAGCUCCUUCCGGAUCAGCAGCCCUUCACCCCUGCCCCGCCUUCCCCCACGCACACCCUGGGGGCGCCCCGGGGGCCGCGGGCGGCUCCGCUCCGUCCACCCCCUCUACGCCUGCUUUCUCUUUUGGGGUCACCCCGAACCUCCUUUGACCCAUGGGCCGGAAGGGGCACGGUUGGUGUCUGCUUUCUCGAGCUUGGUAAACUGAGGCAGCGUGGGGGUGGGGAGCCCAGGACCCCCAGUGUCGGGCGUGCCUCGCCCUAGCGCGGAGGUUUAGAUGCCCGGGAGGCCAAGCGGGCAGGACCCCGCCUCCACUUCCUCCUCUGGGAAAGGGCUCUGGGAGCUGGGCCCCCGCGCCGGCGCCCCCCCAGUGCCCGCCCCACGUAUUUUUAGCGAGAGGAUCACGUGCGCCUGACAGCACAGGCUGAGCCGUCCGUUUCCUUCGGGACAAGACAGGAACUUGUGUUUAUCAGCGGCCCCCGGGACGCCCCGGCUUCCUGCAGGUCCAGCCCCCG